This 309-nucleotide signal recognition particle RNA is filed under the name Callithrix jacchus (white-tufted-ear marmoset). Its description in RNAcentral is "Metazoan signal recognition particle RNA (ENSCJAG00000084987.1)". It matches the Rfam family "Metazoan signal recognition particle RNA". Rfam says of the family: The signal recognition particle (SRP) is a universally conserved ribonucleoprotein. It is involved in the co-translational targeting of proteins to membranes. Lineage: Eukaryota; Metazoa; Chordata; Mammalia; Primates; Cebidae. The record is from Rfam by way of RNAcentral.
GCUGGGCAUGGUGGCGCGUGCCUGUAAUCCCAGCUACUCUGGAGGCUGAGGCAGGAGAAUUGCCUGAACCCAGGAGGCGGAGGUUGCGGUGAGCCGAGAUCGCGCCAUUGCACUCCAGCCUGGGUAACGAGCGAAACUCUGUCUCAAAAAAAAAAAAAAAAAGAAAGAAAUUCAACCUGGGCUGGUUUUUUUGUUUUUUUUUUUUUUUUUAGACAGAGUCUCCCUCUGUUGCCAGGCUGGAGUGCAGUGGUGCGAUCUCGGCUCACUGCAACUUCCACCUCCUGGGUUCAAGUGAUUCUCCUGCCUCAG